GAUGAACGCUGGCGGCGUGCCUAAUACAUGCAAGUCGAGCGAACAGACGAGGAGCUUGCUCCUCUGACGUUAGCGGCGGACGGGUGAGUAACACGUGGAUAACCUACCUAUAAGACUGGGAUAACUUCGGGAAACCGGAGCUAAUACCGGAUAAUAUAUUGAACCGCAUGGUUCAAUAGUGAAAGACGGUUUUGCUGUCACUUAUAGAUGGAUCCGCGCCGCAUUAGCUAGUUGGUAAGGUAACGGCUUACCAAGGCAACGAUGCGUAGCCGACCUGAGAGGGUGAUCGGCCACACUGGAACUGAGACACGGUCCAGACUCCUACGGGAGGCAGCAGUAGGGAAUCUUCCGCAAUGGGCGAAAGCUUGACGGAGCAACGCCGCGUGAGUGAUGAAGGUCUUCGGACCGUAAAACUCUGUUAUUGGGGAAGAACAAAUGUGUAAGUAACUAUGCACGUCUUGACGGUACCUAAUCAGAAAGCCACGGCUAACUACGCG
Molecule: ribosomal RNA, 497 nt
Filed under: uncultured bacterium
Lineage: Bacteria
Description: partial 16S ribosomal RNA
Rfam family: Bacterial small subunit ribosomal RNA
Source: RNAcentral